AGAGCGAACGCUGGCGGCAGGCCUAACACAUGCAAGUCGAGCGCCCGUAGCAAUACGGGAGCGGCAGACGGGAUAGUAACACGUGGGAACGCGCCCUUCGGUUCGGAAUAACUCAGGGAAACUUGAGCUAAUACCGAAUACGCCCUUACGGGGGAAGAUUUAUUGCCGAAGGAACGGCCCGCGUCCGAUUAGCUAGUUGGUGAGGUAAUGGCUCACCAAGGCUACGAUCGGUAGCUGGUCUGAGAGGAUGACCAGCAUCACUGGGACUGAGACACGGCCCAGACUCCUACGGGAGGCAGCAGUGGGGAAUAUUGGACAAUGGGCGCAAGCCUGAUCCAGCCAUGCCGCGUGGAUGAUGAAGGCCUUAGGGUUGUAAAGUCCUUUUAACGGGGAAGAUAAUGACGGUACCCGUAGAAUAAGCCCCGGCUAACUUCGUGCCAGCAGCCGC
RNAcentral lists this ribosomal RNA (448 nucleotides) under uncultured bacterium. RNAcentral describes it as "SSU rRNA". It matches the Rfam family "Bacterial small subunit ribosomal RNA", at positions 26 to 518 of the family's 1533-position model. The record is from RNAcentral.